This 249-nucleotide long non-coding RNA is filed under the name Gossypium raimondii (Peruvian cotton). Its description in RNAcentral is "long non-coding RNA (GRAI_LNC009314)". The record is from RNAcentral. Lineage: Eukaryota; Viridiplantae; Streptophyta; Magnoliopsida; Malvales; Malvaceae.
AUCAAUGGUAUGAAUUGUGUACAAUGCAUGUAAUGGCCCAAAUUUGCCAGGCCCGAUACAGAUAUUAAAACCCAAAUAUGAAAAAAAAAAUUCAGUCUAGUUUACAAACCAAAAUAAAUUAAACCUAAACCCAAGUUACCUACCCAAACACUAGCCUAGCCCAAUAUCCCCAACCCAAUUAGCCCAACACCUAACCCCGACCCAAAUCACCUAAGCCCAAAAUAAAAAUCACCUAACCCCGGCCCAAAU